CCUACGGUAGGCAGCAGUGAGGAAUAUUGGUCAAUGGACGAGAGUCUGAACCAGCCACGUCGCGUGAAGGAUGACUGCCCUAUGGGUUGUAAACUUCUUUUAUAAAGGAAUAAAACGAGGCACGUGUGCCUUUUUGCAUGUACUUUAUGUAUAAGGAUCGGCUAACUCCGUGCCAGCAGCCGCGGUAAUACGGAGGAUCCGAGCGUUAUCCGGAUUUAUUGGGUUUAAAGGGAGCGUAGAUGGGUUGUUAAGUCAGUUGUGAAAGUUUGCGGCUCAACCGUAAAAUUGCAUUUGAUACUGGCAGUCUUGAGUGCAGUAGAGGUAGGCGGAAUUCGUGGUGUAGCGGUGAAAUGCAUAGAUAUCACGCAGAACUCCGGUCGCGAAGGCAGCCUACCGGCGCGCAACUGACGCUCAUGCACGAAAGCGUGGGUAUCGAACAGGAUUAGAUACCCCGGUAGUC
This 460-nucleotide ribosomal RNA is filed under the name uncultured bacterium. RNAcentral's name for it is "partial 16S ribosomal RNA". It matches the Rfam family "Bacterial small subunit ribosomal RNA", at positions 338 to 795 of the family's 1533-position model. The record is from RNAcentral.